AGAUGUGUGUGGCACGCUGAAGAACCUGUCCAGAAGAAGUCCAUGCUUCUGCAAGCUCACAGUCUGCGGUUGUGAUCCUGUAACUUACUCUGCAUGGCCCUUUUCUCAUGGAAACCUAAGCAGUCAAGAACAGGACAUUGGGACAGUGACACGGGAAGGGAGAAGAGAUCUGACAUGGAGCAUCUGGUGGCUUCUUCUAGAAAACUGGCCUCUGAGCAGGCGGCUGAUAUCAAAGACGAAACCCUUGGAUGGCCACCCACAGCUGUCUGACCCCUUUGAACAAAGUUUUGUGCCAUCCUGUGGACCCCUGUGCAGUUUUUGGGUUGCUAUUUAGCCUCAGC
Tinamus guttatus (white-throated tinamou) is the source of this 341-nucleotide long non-coding RNA. RefSeq lists it as uncharacterized. NCBI's taxonomy places the organism in Eukaryota, Metazoa, Chordata, Aves, Tinamiformes, Tinamidae. The record is from RefSeq and is a predicted model, not a curated record.